CUUACGGAGAGUUUGAUCCUGGCUCAGGACAAACGCUGGCGGCGUGUAUUAGGCAUGCAAGUCGAGCGAGAAGCCGGCCUUCGGGCUGGUGGAGAGCGGCGGACGGGUGAGUAACACGUGGGUAACCUGCCCUGGAGUGGGGGAUAACCCGGCGAAAGCCGGGCUAAUACCGCAUACGACUCCCGAUGAGAGAUCGGGUAGUGAAAACUCCGGUGCUCCGGGAGGGGCCCGCGGCCGAUUAGCUAGUUGGUGAGGUAACGGCCCACCAAGGCGACGAUCGGUAGCUGGUCUGAGAGGAUGGUCAGCCACACGGGGACUGAGAACGGCCCCGACUCCUACGGGAGGCAGCAGCUAAGAAUCUUGCGCAAUGGGCGAAAGCCUGACGCAGCAACGCCGCGUGCGGGAGGAAGGCCUUCGGGUUGUAAACCGCUUUUGCGAGGGAAGAAGUACUGACGGUACCUCGCGAAUAAGUCACGGCUAACUACGUGCCAGCAGCCGCGGUAAUACGUAGGUGACAAGCGUUGUCCGGAUUUACUGGGCGUAAAGCGCCCGCAGGCGGCCUUGCAAGUUUCAGGUGAAAUCUCCCGGCUCAACCGGGAGGGGUCCUGGAAAACUGCCAGGCUUGAGGCAGGGAGGGGAAUGCGGAAUUUCCGGUGUAGCGGUGAAAUGCGUAGAUAUCGGAAGGAACACCAGCGGCGAAGGCGGCAUUCUGGCCCUGUCCUGACGCUCAGGGGCGAAAGCGUGGGGAGCGAACCGGAUUAGAUACCCGGGUAGUCCACGCUGUAAACGAUGAGUACUAGGUGUUGGGGGUAUCGACCCCCUCAGUGCCGAAGCUAACGCGAUAAGUACUCCGCCUGAGGACUACGGCCGCAAGGCUAAAACUCAAAGGAAUUGACGGGGGCCCGCACAAGCA
This 913-nucleotide ribosomal RNA is filed under the name Chloroflexota bacterium. RNAcentral describes it as "bacterial SSU rRNA". It matches the Rfam family "Bacterial small subunit ribosomal RNA", at positions 1 to 931 of the family's 1533-position model. Lineage: Bacteria; Bacillati; Chloroflexota. The record is from RNAcentral.